UACAGAGGGGGCAAGCGUUGUUCGGAAUUAUUGGGCGUAAAGGGCGUGUAGGCGGUUUGUUAAGUCUGGCGUGAAAGCUCUCGGCUAAACCGGGAGAGGUCGUUGGAUACUGGCGAACUAGAGGAUGGUAGAGGCGUGUGGAAUUCCGGGUGUAGUGGUGAAAUGCGUAGAGAUCCGGAGGAACACCAGUGGCGAAGGCGACACGCUGGGCCAUACCUGACGCUAAAGCGCGACAGCAUGGGGAGCAAACGGG
Molecule: ribosomal RNA, 253 nt
Filed under: uncultured bacterium
Lineage: Bacteria
Description: partial 16S ribosomal RNA
Rfam family: Bacterial small subunit ribosomal RNA
Source: RNAcentral